This 207-nucleotide ribosomal RNA is filed under the name uncultured bacterium. Its description in RNAcentral is "partial 16S ribosomal RNA". It matches the Rfam family "Bacterial small subunit ribosomal RNA", at positions 568 to 774 of the family's 1533-position model. The record is from RNAcentral.
CACGUAGGCGGACUGGAAAGUCAGGGGUGAAAUCCCGGGGCUCAACCCCGGAACUGCCUUUGAAACUCCCGGUCUUGAGGUCGAGAGAGGUGAGCGGAAUUCCGAGUGUAGAGGUGAAAUUCGUAGAUAUUCGGAGGAACACCAGUGGCGAAGGCGGCUCACUGGCUCGAUACUGACGCUGAGGUGCGAAAGCGUGGGGAGCAAACA